CCCUUAGAUGUUCUGGGCUGCACGCGCGCUGCACUGAUGCAUCCAACAAGUUUUUUCCUUGUUCGAGAGGACUAGGUAAUCUUAUGAGAAUGCAUCGUGAUGGGGAUAGAUUAUUGCAAUUAUUAAUCUUCAACGAGGAAUUCCUAGUAAGCGCGAGUCAUCAGCUCGUGCUGAUUACGUCCCUGCCCUUUGUACACACCGCCCGUCGCUGCAACUGAUUGGGUGACCUGGUGAACAUCUUGGACCGGCCCACUCAAUUUCGAGAGGACUGGAAAAGGCCGUAAAUCAGGUACAUCUAGAAAUUGCAAAAGUCGUAACA
RNAcentral lists this ribosomal RNA (319 nucleotides) under uncultured eukaryote. RNAcentral describes it as "partial 18S ribosomal RNA". It matches the Rfam family "Eukaryotic small subunit ribosomal RNA", at positions 1470 to 1796 of the family's 1831-position model. The record is from RNAcentral.